Long non-coding RNA from Daphnia magna, 546 nucleotides. RefSeq lists it as uncharacterized. NCBI's taxonomy places the organism in Eukaryota, Metazoa, Arthropoda, Branchiopoda, Diplostraca, Daphniidae. The transcript has 2 exons. The record is from RefSeq and is a predicted model, not a curated record.
UUACCUUUUUUUUUAUUCGAUUGCUGAAGGCGAUUGUCUGAAAAUAGCUUGAAAUAUCCUUUCAUAGCUUGACUUCUACAUAAUGUUAGAAUAUCACCAUAUGUACUGUAUCUUGAGGGCUUUAAAAAGCUGCUUUUAAUUCUUUUUGACAGAAAUAUCGUUAUCUAGUGUUUUGUCAGUCAACCAGAGGAAGCAGAUUAGGAUUGACGUUGCCUCCCACCAGAGCUUGUAAAACUAAAUGGUGAAGUUGGAUAUUUACAAGAAGUACUGAUUUUUUUUGCUUCGUUUCAUUAGGCUACGCAAGUGAAUAUAGUGAGUAGUGGGAGAUCAAGUUAUUCAAUUAUCGCCACGGAUUUCGUGAUCAGUUUUUUUUAAGGUGUCUAUGGAGAGUGUUUGCUGUUAUAAUGAUUCACAGACUUAGAUGGUUGGCCCUGAUCUGUAUUGGGCAAUUGCGUCCGUCGUCAUUGAUUACACCACCUGUCAUCUAGCCCACGCAUUUCGAAAAAUAGCUCCAAAUGAAAGAUUACGUGAGACUUAGUACAAAGG